RNAcentral lists this ribosomal RNA (422 nucleotides) under Fusobacteriota bacterium. RNAcentral's name for it is "Fusobacteria bacterium partial 16S ribosomal RNA". It matches the Rfam family "Bacterial small subunit ribosomal RNA", at positions 355 to 776 of the family's 1533-position model. Lineage: Bacteria; Fusobacteriati; Fusobacteriota. The record is from RNAcentral.
UGGGGGAUUUUGCACAAUGGGCGCAAGCCUGAUGCAGCGACGCCGCGUGAGGGAUGAAGGCCUUCGGGUUGUAAACCUCUUUCGCUGGGUUGAAAGGCCAUGCUUUGUGUGUGGUUGAUUUGAACUGGUAAAGAAGUACCGGCUAACUACGUGCCAGCAGCCGCGGUAAUACGUAGGGUACUAGCGUUGUCCGGAUUUAUUGGGCGUAAAGGGCUUGUAGGUGGUUUGUCGCGUCUGUCGUGAAAUCCUGUGGCUUAACCAUGGGCUUGCGGUGGGUACGGGCAGGCUUGAGUGCGGUAGGGGAGACUGGAAUUCCUGGUGUAGCGGUGGAAUGCGCAGAUAUCAGGAGGAACACCGGUGGCGAAGGCGGGUCUCUGGGCCGUUACUGACACUGAGGAGCGAAAGCGUGGGGAGCGAACAGG